ACAGGUGAAGUUUUAUUAUCUAUCCUGGUAGAAUAAUCCAAAGAAGAUACGUUUUACCCACCAAUUUAUAUGCCUAACUGUGCUGCUAUUGUUACUAUUUUCUUAAUGGAUGCUCCUAAAAUUGUUUCGGUGCUCUUCUACCAAGAUUGACCAAAUGAGUGUUCUGCUAAAGUAAAAGUCAUAAGACUGAAAUAACAUGGGUCAGCCUUUGUACGUCUGCCAGUGCUACAAAUUAUUUGAAUGAUAUGUCUGCCAGUGCUGCAAAUUAUUUGAAUGAAAGAUCUAAAAAUACACAGCACAUCUUAUGUCCACAGUUGUGAUGAUGAUAGGUGCAGAGUUUUGGCCUGUUCAUUACAUUAAUUUGAAAGCUUGUGUUCUUUUGAGCUUACAUUAUGUAGCAUCUCUACUGUAGGUUUGUAAGUAGCUUUCUCCUUUAUCUGAUGGAAAUCAUAAUUGUUUUACAGGAAGUGAAGACGACCAGUCAUCGCGCCAUAUUCCCGUGAGCUCCAUUCAUAUUACUAUAUGCUUAAAACAUCGUGCUCUCCUUCUCUACAUCAUGUGGUUUGGUAUCAAACUCUCAAAAAGGAAAAACAACUUUACUCUGUUUUUUGGAGAACCUUCCUGUAGAGUACCUUGACAGAGACAAAUAUGCGAUCAAGGAUACAUUUGAUGGAUUUUCACGCAAAACUUGGAGGAUAUUUUUUGCAGGUUCGUUGCUUGCUUUAUUGUUUUCUUACUUUCCGUUCUUCAAGACAAUAUCUUCCUAGCAUUGCUCUAUAAAUUUAAAUCCAUCUUUUUGUUCUUUGGAUUAUCAUGGCGUACUCGUCCUGUCUAAUCCAAGAAAGGGCCUUCAUGUUUGCAGAUAGUUUGGUGCUCUCAUGGUUAUUUUAUAGUGAUUUUUCUUCUGUUCAUUACUUGGUAACCAUCUACUGCAGCUUAGCUAUUGUCCAGUUGCUGACCUUAUGGUGAGUGAUUGAUGGUGCAUGUUUUCCUAUUAGUUUCUUUCUAUGCCAAUGUCUGAAUUUUAUCUUGCCGUUUUGCAUUUCUCCAGGCCUUUCAUUCUCACUGUGAUUCCCCGAGUUGCGCUAUUAGUAGGCAUCCACUUUCUAAUAAAAAAUUGGCAGUCAACUUGAACGAGUCAUUUAUCUAGCUACAGCAACCUUCCUUGCUUUUGCAGUCAACUUGAACGAGUCUAUACCUGCCAAAUAUUUACACGUUAGUAUAGCCAGAAAGUCAGAUGAUCGUUCCAUGUUGGUUAGCCGUGAUAAAUCAAAUUUCUAGAGUAGCAGAUGAUUCGUGUCAGGUUUCCUUUAGAGAUUGAAAUAUGUCUUGACUCUAAAAUAAGUAGUACAGAGUCCAGUUCUGCAUAGGUGAAAGCAUACUAUCUAAAACUGGACGGCCUUCUAAAGCUCUGAAACUACUAUUUGUUGUGUAAUCUGUAUCCCCUUUUCAUACUCUAUAUAUGCUUUCUACUUACUAGGAAAAAAUGCGUGAGAGCGAUGUCUUGAGGAUGCGAAUUGCACUCAAAUAUAUGCAGGUUUCUUGCCAAAUUAACUGCCACUAUUUUAUUUCAGGUGCUUCUUCUGUAACUUAGUGUAUUUCGCUGGCUCUUCUCAUUUCCUGGCGAACUUUUUAGUCUGUACAGUCGAAUCGUUGGAAGUUGUUUUCUACUAUCUAUAGAGGUUUUAUCCAAGCUAUUAGCUGCCUGACUUGCUUUUUUGAAGUACGCCAUCCUGAUAGACCAAGUGGACCCACACAUUUCCAUGGGAUUUUAGAAAAAUAUAUGUGAAUUUGCAUACAUUUUCUAAAUUUCUAUCUUUUCUUAUCCAUGCUUCCGCAUAGAUAUAUAGCAGGCUUAACAAAAAUGAAUGUCUGAUUGUGUUCAAAUUUCAAGGAAGUGUGCUUCAUGCUUCUCUUUCUGCAAUAUGUUUCAGAGUAUAUGACUUAAUUUUCCUACUUUCCCAGUUACAAUACUGUGUACUUCAUUCUUAGCUUUGCUUUGGGAAAAAUAGGUAUGCAGGUUAUCGAAAGCUCCAUUUUUCUCCAUUAUAUAGAUCAUAUAGCUUUGUGAUCGAAGGUAGGUUGUCACAUAUGGGAUGUUGCUUGUGAAAGUUAUAUACAGCCAUGAGUCCCUGACAAAAUAAUCGCAGCUCAUGUUACUAGGAUCAGGGAACCUCGACCAUUUUUCUGAAACAUGUCGCAGCUCAUGUUCCUACUUUCCCAGCUACACUAUUAUGUACUUCAUUCUUACCUUCGCUUUUGGAAGUUACAUUGCUUUCUUUUCCCUCAUAAACUUGCUAACGAUAUUGGCGAAGUAAUCCCCACUUCAGAUUUCCCAUUGAAUAAAUAACUAAUUUAGUUUGUUGAAAAAUUGUAGGUCAAGAUCCAUGAAUAGGAGCAAGGCAUCACACCAGCUCUGAGAAGAAAAGGAUAUGAAGACAAAGAUAGACCAGUGUUCUGCUCCGAAGCAAAAACAUUUUGCGUGUAAUAAUGAACUGUAAUUUACCACAAUCUCUCUACAACAGGCCUACCUAUUACCAGUCCGUUGCUUGCUUUUGUAUUAGGAAGUAUGACCCAGUCAUAUAUAUUUACAUUCACGUUGUUUAGU
Molecule: long non-coding RNA, 2608 nt
Organism: Triticum aestivum (bread wheat)
Lineage: Eukaryota; Viridiplantae; Streptophyta; Magnoliopsida; Poales; Poaceae
Exons: 2
Source: RefSeq, a predicted model, not a curated record